This 102-nucleotide small nuclear RNA is filed under the name Erinaceus europaeus (western European hedgehog). Its description in RNAcentral is "7SK RNA". It matches the Rfam family "7SK RNA", at positions 4 to 105 of the family's 331-position model. Rfam says of the family: 7SK was discovered as an abundant small nuclear RNA in the mid-70s but a possible function has only recently been suggested. Two independent studies have found that 7SK RNA binds the CDK9/cyclin T complex (known as elongation factor P-TEFb). P-TEFb activates transcription by phosphorylating the C-terminal domain of RNA polymerase II. Lineage: Eukaryota; Metazoa; Chordata; Mammalia; Eulipotyphla; Erinaceidae. The record is from Rfam by way of RNAcentral.
UGUGAGGGCAGUAUGGCUAUGACAUCUGUCACUCUAUUGAUCGCCAGCGUUGAUUCAGCAGAUCUGGCUGGCUAGGCAGAGGUCCUCAUGCUUCCUCACUAC